ACAAUCAGAGAAAGCCUGGCGCGCAAGCGUUCGGGUGAUCUCGUGCCUAUUGAAGAAUGAGCCUGCGAGUUUUUCCAUCAUGCAAAGCUUAAGCUGUUUCGCAGCGGAGGCGUAGAGAAAUCGAGUCUGAAUAGGGCGUUUCCUGACUUAAGUGUCAGGAUCAAGUAUGUUGGGAAAGACCCGAAACCGGGUGAGCUUACCAUGAUCAGGGUGAAAUCUCGGUAAAACGAGAUGAAGGCCCGCACCGGUGUAUGCUGCAAGAUGCUCGGAUGAGUUGUGGUAAGGGGUAAUAUGCCAAUCGAACCCGGAGAUAGCUGGUUCUCCCUGAAAUAUAUUUAGGUAUAGGGUCGUGUUAAAGCUGUAUGGGGGUAGAGCACUGAUCGGGUGCGCCUGAGGUAACUUAGGCCAUCUAGUCAAACUCCGAAUACCGUAUAGUGUUUCACGGCACUCAGCACCUGGGAGCUAAGUUCCAGGAACAAAAGGAAAACAAACCAGACCUACAGCUAAGGUCUCAAAUGUAUAUUUAGUGGUAAAGGAAGUCUUGUCCCUAAGACACCUAGGAGGUCGGCUCAGAAGCAGCCAUCCUUUAAAGAAAGCGUAACAGCUCACUAGCCGUAGGAUAUAUGCGCCCAAAAUUUA
This 639-nucleotide ribosomal RNA is filed under the name Candidatus Kaiserbacteria bacterium. RNAcentral describes it as "partial 23S ribosomal RNA". It matches the Rfam family "Bacterial large subunit ribosomal RNA", at positions 566 to 1174 of the family's 2925-position model. Lineage: Bacteria; Candidatus Kaiseribacteriota. The record is from RNAcentral.